This is a non-coding RNA of Oryctolagus cuniculus (rabbit), 3391 nucleotides long. The record is from RefSeq and is a predicted model, not a curated record. NCBI's taxonomy places the organism in Eukaryota, Metazoa, Chordata, Mammalia, Lagomorpha, Leporidae.
GUGCAGAGUUUAUGAGUCAGGCCACCAGCUGGAGGGGGAUGGAAGGGGGAAAGAAGCUCUCAUUUGAAAGUCAUUUUGUUGCACAAACCUCUGUGGUGUCGGGUUCGGCUGUGUGUGUGUGUGUCUCAGUCUCUGGUGUCCCCGUGGAAUCUGCCUACCUUCUCCGAGCCAAGUCUCAGUUUCAUCCACAUCAGAGUGCUCGAGUUCCAGUCCUGGCUCCGCUUCUGAUCCAGCUUCCUGCUGAUGUGCAUCCCGGGAGGCAGCAGGUGAUGGCUCAAGUUCCUGGGUCCCUGCCGCCCCUGUGGGAGACCUGGAUUGAGUUACAGACUCCUGGCUUCAGUCUGGCCCAGCCCUGGCUGUUUCAGAUGUUUGGAGAACGAGCCAAUGGAUGGAAGAGCUCUGUCUCCUUUUCUUUUGAAUAUGACGGUGAGACUGACGAGGCCAGGGGAGCGGGGCCACACCGCAUCACCCACAGAGACGGGAAAGCCGUGAGGUCAUCGCUCCCUGACCGCUGUCCGCCCAGGGAACCACGCACGCACCUGGAGGGCCUUUGCGGCUGCUGUUCCCUCUCCUUGGAACACUCUUCCCCAAAUCUAAGUCACCUCCUCCGAGAAGCUUUCCCUGACCACCUGCUGUGAAGCAGUCCCUCCACGUCUAUCUCCCCAGGAAUUGUAGGGUGACCAAUUCGCCCCUGCUGUCCCGAGGCUCUUCAGAAGAUCUUGAAAUUCCAGUAACACCGACAGCUUCGGGCUGAAAUUCCAGUAACGCCAACGGCUUCGGGCAGAUCCGCCAAGCUUCGGGCACAUCCCUCGAUCCUGUCCCGUCACUGACUCCGCCCCCACUGCUGGCUCAGCGCUAGGGGCAAGGCAGGGAGGUUUGUGGAACACGGACCCGAUGCCAAGUACCGGGUCCGGGUGUCACACACCUCGGCCACCCUUCAGGCAAGGGUGGCCUGGGAGGUGUCCUGGUAAGCGAUGAGGGUGGAGAGGCCGGCUUUGCCCGCACCGUAUCUGAGGGCAAUGGGGAGCCACCCUGGGCUGUAGUCAGAGGGCAGUGCUGUAUCUGAGGGCAAUGGGGAGCCACCCUGGGCUGUAGUCAGAGGCUGUAUCUGAGGGCAAUGGGGAGCCACCCUGGGCUGUAGUCAGGGGGCAGCAUGACCCCACUCGGGCUGGCAGCUGUGCAGGGCUGAGAGGGGUGGGGAGGAACCUACAAGGUGAAUGGGUUGAUUUCUGCUUUCCAGGGUGGUCGUGAGCGAGCCAGUCCCUGGGCCAAGGGGGAAGGUGCUGUGGGCGGGGCAGGUGGGAACAGAGCCGUCCAGGUUGGGACUGGGCGGAGAACAUGGGGGAGAACCCUGUUGUGUCAUGAGGGGGCUGUGUGGUCUUGGGUAGGUUGCUUUGCCUCUCUGAGUCUCAGCUGUAAAACGGCCUUAAUCUCAGUACAGCUUCCUGGGGAGCAGUGAGUGUCCAUGAGGUCGUUGAGACAUGCAUAGCACUCAAGCCCCCCCCUCCGAAAGCGCUGGAGCACCGCGGGGCGCCAUGGGAGGGGCGGCAUCCUCAAGGGUCCCCUGGUGACCCUCAUCGCCCCUGGGAUGGCCUUUGAGGUGGGAGGGGGGAGGGGAGCGGCACUCCUACGAGCAUCCCCCAGCCCGGUCAUUCCAGGUGGGCGCCCUCCGGUAACAUUUUUCGGCUUCCUGGUGGGGAGGGUGGGAACGGCGGCCAAAGCGCAGGUGCCCCUCCUGCCCCUCCCUGUCUAUUUCCAGCGUGGCUGCCUGAGGCCUCUGCCAGGUGUGGGCGAUGACUCAGAGUCAGGCUGAGCGGACAAGGCGGCCCUGGGGGCCUGAGGCUGUCACCGCCUCCUUCCCGCGGCCUUUCCCGUGGGCAUUUGGGUGGGGGGAGGGCUGGGCUGGUGCCAACGGGCUCCCAUCGGUGUCACCAAGAGGAGAUGGGACAGUGCCCCAACAGGCCCCAAAUCUGCCUCUUUGCUGGCUGGAGGGGGGCACAGGGGCCAUGUCUUGUUCAUCUCUGCUUCAAUGCACCUAGGACAGGGCUGGGCACCUGGUGGGAUGCGGCAUGGGCUCAGAAGACAGACAGACAGGCUUUAGUUCAUCCUGGGCGGGGAAUCUGCCUCUCUGAACCUCAGUUUGCUCAUCAGCGAAAUGGGAUUAGCAAUGUGGGCCUUGUUAAGGACCACUGGGAAAGAAAUCGUCUGCAUGCCUGGGACAGCAUCUGUAGUAACACUGACCACAUCGCCUUGUCAGCAGUUAUUUCCAAAUCUGCCUCUCCGUGUCGAGUCGGCUCUGAACAGAGGCCUCUGAGACAGAAGACGUGAACUUGAAUCCUGGACCUGCUUUGGCUUUGCCGUGUGACUCUGGCUAAAUCACUCACCUUCUCUGAGCCUCGGUUUCUUUGUGAUGACCACGGAGGCCACAGGGUGCAAAGGACACAGCACGGCCUCUGGCCCCCAGAGGCGGCUGCACCAGCGUGGAAGAACAAGGGGCUCGUGACCGAUCGAUCGGCAAGGAUCAGCCAUGGCAUCGGCUAGAACAGAAACAGCUUUUGUUGGCCGGGAAGAGAGCUGGGCUCUGAAACCGGCUGAGAAGCCGACUGGCCGAGUGUCCUUGGACAAGUCUUUCAGCCUCUCUGGGUUCAGCUUCCAGCGUAACAAGCAGGACCAGGAUCCAACGCCCAGGAGCCCACUGGCUCCUCCUCCUCCUCCUCCGGUGGAGGCUCGCAGCCUCUACCAGACCCCUGGGAACGGAGCCCUCGGUGAGAAGCAGAACACGGACGAUCUGACCGUGUCCCGGGUGGGCCUCGGGGCAGUGGAGUUGGUCAACCAAGCUCAUCGUGGCCCUGGCCCCAGCCAGCCACAGGGAGGAACCCGAGGCCUCUGCAGGAAAGAGGAUGUGCCCGGGGCGCGCAGCUAAUGAGCCAGCAGGAGCUGGCAGCUGAGCCCACACCUGGCCGGCCCCAAGACCAAUGCUCAGGCCACUGCUGUGGCCCGAGGCUGCCCCACACGGCCCCGUGCACCUGUCCUCCUGGCACGCUGGGCGCACGCAUUAUUUCUACACUCCUCCUGUUAUUAAUGCAGAAACAGGCCGGGGAGCGGGAGGCACUCUGCCAGGAGCACUCAGCUGUGCGGUAGAGGAGCCAAAACUUGACCUUGUUUCUCUUGCCCUUGGUCCUCUCCGGCUACACCUGGGGCUCUCACAAGGCACUUCCGCUACCUGGAUACCACCAGCCCCUGCUCUGCGCCCCAGCCACCCAAUGUCCUCUCCAAAUCCCCACCUCCUCGUCCUCCAGGCCACCAAGUUUGCAAACAACACUCUCUCCCCCUACCUCGCUCUCACCUGAUGCAUUCGUUCAUUCAUUCAUUAAAUCAUUCUCUCAACAGA